Molecule: long non-coding RNA, 1935 nt
Organism: Lethenteron reissneri (Far Eastern brook lamprey)
Lineage: Eukaryota; Metazoa; Chordata; Hyperoartia; Petromyzontiformes; Petromyzontidae
Source: RefSeq, a predicted model, not a curated record
AUCUUUAUCUUUAUGAAGGCCAACACAGCACAACACAAGUGGGUGGGCGACGAGCAUCACGCCUGGCCGGCUUCGUCUCCCUCGUGGCGAUGUUGACGCAGCACGCCAGGCACUCAUUCAAGUCCGAGUCGACCUCGGGGAGGGCGGCCCAGCACCGGAUCCAGACACCUCCUUCGCCGACGUCGGCCGCGUGAGCGGGAAUCGAAACUCGGGGGUCGCGCGCUGAGCUCAACCGCGGCGGCCGCCGCCUCUUCCCGCGACGCAAGCGACGAGCAAAGACGCGUCGCUCCGACUGCCGCGGCCGACUACGUGCGGUGGCGUGAGAGGUCCUACAAGCACGUGGUCACGUGCAGAUCGCAGGCACGGUGACGUUGACGGUGGCACGGGGAUCGCAUUCACGGCUGAAAUCAGCGGCGAGUGAUGUCCCAACCGAUCCUGGGUUGGGACGUCAGCAGCGCGGAGACAAAGGCGAUUAAGCGAUUGCAGAAAGAAUGGAGGAGAGAAGAAAAAAACAUCCUGGAAAAAAUGCAACUCGAAAUGAAAACUGCCAAGAAACUGCUUUUGACUCAAAAACAGUUCCGACGUUUAAGGAACCAUGACCGCACAUGUUUACCAUUUCACAAUCACACGCUCAUCAUUUUAUCUUCAGUAGCCAAUUCCUGUUCUGCUAAUGUAGCGGUCCUAAUUAGGCGGCAUUAUUGUAUGGGUUUUGUAAAUUGACCACAGACGUUCAUGACAAUGUUAAUUUAUUUUCUGCUUUUUUAAGUCAAAUAUAAUUACACGCAAAUAUGCAUCCAGGUAGGCGGGCAGGUUGGCAGCGUGGUGGUCACGCUCGCAACCUCACAACAAGAAGGGAACUGGGUUAGAUUCCUGAUUCGGGCGCCUUUGUACAAUUUGCUACGUACGGUGCAAAAGAAGUUCAACAUAGAAAAACGUUCUCCUCCUACUCUGCAUGGGUGUCUUCUGUAUUCUCCAGUUUCCUCCCAUAUCCCCCCAAAAAAACUAUAUAUAAAUAUAUAAUAGUGACUGGUAUUGGCCAAACAUGCUGAUACAAUUAUCUGCCAAUGAUAUAAUUGGGAUAAUGCGUAGCAUCAUCACCGCCUGCCGCAGCGACUAUUUGUGCAAUACUUCUAAAGGACUCCUGCUGUACUCGUUCUCUGCAGUGUCGAUGUUUUUCUGUCUUUGUCUUUUUAGUGUUUUUUUGUGUUUUUUCAUCUUUGUGGAAUUACUCCGUGUAACAAAUAGACUUAAACUUAUUACGGAAACAUGGCAGAACCCUCCUGAAAAAGAUGAUUGUGGUUAUUAUAAAAUUAUCAACUCCCAUUAGCAGGGGUCAAUAAAACUAGUACCACUAUGUCGACUGAUUCCUGACAUAGGAAGAUGGAACUUCCACCACGAGGUCAAGACUGACACGUAAAAAUAUUCUGAAAAAAUCUAAUUUAUUAAAAAUAGUUAUAUGGUUUAUGAAAUACAUUUUCAUAGAAAUCAUUCAGAUUUUUUUUUUUUUAAACUAUUCGCAUUUUGAUCUUCUGGCCGUUACGGGCUACAUAGUUUGCAUGCAUUUAUUGCAACAGUAUCAAAAUUGCACCUUCGUUCACUCAAGACGCAUCGUGUGCAUCCCCAUCCCUCGCUUGCAAAUGACAUGAAGUGCCUCCAACAAAUCACACAUUUGGCCAAAUAUUUCUUUGAAUCACUUUUUUGGCACGCAAAAAAAAAACGCUCGAUUAAUGUCCUCCACGAUGCAGAAAGGGGAACGCUCCGUUGGCAGUGCUGUGCGUCGCAGUGACCUCGACAGCACGGGAAGGGGUUUCACGCGAUUUAAAUAUCCCAAUCCUGUCUCCGUAGCCUCAGCCUUCUGAGUGCGCCUUCACCCAAAGCUCAAUUUGUACCCCCGAGUAACACAGAGUUCAGCGCAGAAACGUUUCGGCUGUUGGA